GAUGAACGCUGGCGGCGUGCCUAAUACAUGCAAGUCGAGCGAACGGACGAGAAGCUUGCUUCUCUGAUGUUAGCGGCGGACGGGUGAGUAACACGUGGAUAACCUACCUAUAAGACUGGGAUAACUUCGGGAAACCGGAGCUAAUACCGGAUAAUAUUUUGAACCGCAUGGUUCAAAAGUGAAAGACGGUCUUGCUGUCACUUAUAGAUGGAUCCGCGCUGCAUUAGCUAGUUGGUAAGGUAACGGCUUACCAAGGCAACGAUGCAUAGCCGACCUGAGAGGGUGAUCGGCCACACUGGAACUGAGACACGGUCCAGACUCCUACGGGAGGCAGCAGUAGGGAAUCUUCCGCAAUGGGCGAAAGCCUGACGGAGCAACGCCGCGUGAGUGAUGAAGGUCUUCGGAUCGUAAAACUCUGUUAUUAGGGAAGAACAUAUGUGUAAGUAACUGUGCACAUCUUGACGGUACCUAAUCAGAAAGCCACGGCUAACUACGUGCCAGCAGCCGCGGUAAUACGUAGGUGGCAAGCGUUAUCCGGAAAUAUUGGGUGUAAAGCGCGCGUAGGCGGUUUUUUAGUCUGAUGUGAAAGCCCACGGCUCAACCGUGGAGGGUCAUUGGAAACUGGAAAGCUUGAGUGCAGAAGAGGAAAGUGGAAUUCCAUGUGUAGCGGUGAAAUGCGCAGAGAUAUGGAGGAACACCGGUGGCGAAGGCGACUUUCUGGUCUGUAACUGACGCUGAUGUGCGAAAGCGUGGGGAUCAAACAGGAUUAGAUACCCUGGUAGUCCACGCCGUAAACGAUGAGUGCUAAGUGUUAGGGGGUUUCCGCCCCUUAGUGCUGCAGCUAACGCAUUAAGCACUCCGCCUGGGGAGUACGACCGCAAGGUUGAAACUCAAAGGAAUUGACGGGGACCCGCACAAGCGGUGGAGCAUGUGGUUUAAUUCGAAGCAACGCGAAGAACCUUACCAAAUCUUGACAUCCUUUGACAACUCUAGAGAUAGAGCUUUCCCCUUCGGGGGACAAAGUGACAGGUGGUGCAUGGUUGUCGUCAGCUCGUGUCGUGAGAUGUUGGGUUAAGUCCCGCAACGAGCGCAACCCUUAAGCUUAGUUGCCAUCAUUAAGUUGGGCACUCUAAGUUGACUGCCGGUGACAAACCGGAGGAAGGUGGGGAUGACGUCAAAUCAUCAUGCCCCUUAUGAUUUGGGCUACACACGUGCUACAAUGGACAAUACAAAGGGCAGCGAAACCGUGAGGUCAAGCAAAUCCCAUAAAGUUGUUCUCAGUUCGGAUUGUAGUCUGCAACUCGACUACAUGAAGCUGGAAUCGCUAGUAAUCGUAGAUCAGCAUGCUACGGUGAAUACGUUCCCGGGUCU
RNAcentral lists this ribosomal RNA (1371 nucleotides) under uncultured bacterium. RNAcentral describes it as "bacterial SSU rRNA". It matches the Rfam family "Bacterial small subunit ribosomal RNA", at positions 28 to 1381 of the family's 1533-position model. The record is from RNAcentral.